This 496-nucleotide ribosomal RNA is filed under the name uncultured bacterium. RNAcentral's name for it is "partial 16S ribosomal RNA". It matches the Rfam family "Bacterial small subunit ribosomal RNA", at positions 28 to 506 of the family's 1533-position model. The record is from RNAcentral.
GAUGAACGCUGGCGGCGUGCCUAAUACAUGCAAGUCGAGCGAACAGACGAGGAGCUUGCUCCUCUGACGUUAGCGGCGGACGGGUGAGUAACACGUGGAUAACCUACCUAUAAGACUGGGAUAACUUCGGGAAACCGGAGCUAAUACCGGAUAAUAUAUUGAACCGCAUGGUUCAAUAGUGAAAGACGGUUUUGCUGUCACUUAUAGAUGGAUCCGCGCCGCAUUAGCUAGUUGGUAAGGUAACGGCUUACCAAGGCAACGAUGCGUAGCCGACCUGAGAGGGUGAUCGGCCACACUGAAACUGAGACACGGUCCAGACUCCUACGGGAGGCAGCAGUAGGGAAUCUUCCGCAAUGGGCGAAAGCCUGACGGAGCAACGCCGCGUGAGUGAUGAAGGUCUUCGGAUCGUAAAACUCUGUUAUUAGGGAAGAACAAAUGUGUAAGUAACGAUGCACGUCUUGACGGUACCUAAUCAGAAAGCCACGGCUAACUACGU